Molecule: long non-coding RNA, 5929 nt
Organism: Lethenteron reissneri (Far Eastern brook lamprey)
Lineage: Eukaryota; Metazoa; Chordata; Hyperoartia; Petromyzontiformes; Petromyzontidae
Source: RefSeq, a predicted model, not a curated record
GUGAGAGUCUCUCUGUGAGAGUCUCUGUGUGAGUCUCUGUGUGAGUCUCUGUGAGAGUCUCUGGGUGAGAGUCUCUGGGUGAGAGUCUCCGAGUCUCUGGGUGAGAGUCUCUGAGUCUCUGUGUGAGAGUCUCUGGGUGAGAGUCUCUGAGUCUCUGUGUGAGAGUCUCUGAGUCUCUGUGUGAGAGUCUCUCUGUGUGAGUGUCUGUGUGAGGGUCUCUCUGUGUGAGAGUCUCUGAGUCUCUGGGUGAGAGUCUCUGAGUCUCUGGGUGAGAGUCUCUGAGUCUCUGUGUGAGAGUCUCUCUGUGUGAGUCUCUGUGUGAGGGUCUCUCUGUGUGAGAGUCUCUGAGUCUCUGUGUGAGAGUCUCUGGGUCUCUGUGUGAGAGUCUCUGGGUGAGAGUCUGUGUGAGUCUCUGUGUGAGAGUCUCUGAGUCUCUGGGUGAGAGUCUCUGGGUGAGAGUCUCUGGGUCUCUGUGUGAGGGUCUCUGGGUGAGAAUCUCUGGGUCGCUGGGUGAGAGUCUCUGGGUCUCUGUGUAAGUCUCUGGGUCUCUGUGUGAGAAUCUCUGUGUGAGAGUCUCUGGGUCUCUGUGUGAGGGUCUCUGUGUGAGAGUCUCUGGGUCUCUGUGUGAGAGUCUCUGUGUGAGGGUCUCUGUGUGAGAGUAUCUGGGUCUCUGUGUGAGUCUGGUUCUGGUGCAAGAAACGCAAGAAUGAAGCCUGCCAAUGCCCCCCUCUGCUCCACGUGGCAUGGCACUGCAGCAACUCCCCGCCCGUGUGGGCCCGUGCAGUUGCACCGCCUGCACACGCGGCAGGAGACGUGGCCGCUGGUGGUGUGCCGCGUGCUCGUAGUUUUAGUGGACUGUAUCGUCCUUGCCCGCACAGGAAAUCAAAGUGGAGCCUGGGACGCGUCACGCAGCCGCCCCUACCUGCUGCCGGUGUGCGGACACGCGUCUCGUGUGGAGCAUGCCUGCAGGACAAAGGCACGCGCACGCGCGGGCUGCGAGUUUGUGUGCCCGACCUGCAAGGUCCCCGGCCUCCUACCUGCAGCCCGACGAAGCGCUUGGAAAUUUCCUACCCACGCUGAAGGAAAUGCUGGAGGAGCGAUUUGGUGGGAAACCUCGGCCGCUCUACCCUGAGCGGCCGCUCGCGCAGGGCGGCCGCGGCGCUGGUGUCUGGCACCUAUCUUGUCGAGGGCUCUGUACAGCACAAACCACUGCACCUGGGCCACGGCCCGAAUCCAAAGCCUCCGUUCUGACGGUCAGAUUCAGGUCUGUUCCCGUAGUCGAGUUCACGUUAAAAUUUAUGCUGGGCAAUGAGUUGAUUGAAACCUAGAGAUGUAAAAUAGCAGACAGGUCACUUCUGUCACCAGGCCUUUUAGCUGCGUUCCAACCAAGGCUUUACAUAUUUCCACACCUCCGAUUAGCACAGUUGGCUAUGUACGGUGCGAAAGAAGUUCAACAUAAAUAUUCAUAAGUUUGUUUACCCCAAGAAGACCUCAAGCUUUCACGACCAUUAUCCAUAAUCGAGGUUUUUGGGUUAGACGACGUAAAUAUGAAUGUGUCGUUAAACCCGCCACCGCCAACACAGCCAAUUACUGUAGUAAGGUUUGUCACGUAAUCAAAACGUGCUAAUUCGUUACUAGUUCAGCACACUGGUGUGUUCGACAGUAAACCCCCAACAUUUACAAUUCAAUACUCUUUGGUUCUUUUGGUAAAGUCACGUAGGUAUAAAAUAAAAUUUACAAUUCGAGUACGACGUUUUGUCAGUAAUUCCAACUCACAUCAACAGGCGAUAGCCAGGGUUGUUAAGAGCGAAGCAGGAGGAUUUCUCAAGAGAUAAAUGUGAUGUCUCACUUGUGGGGCAAUUAGGCCGAAGGCCGGGGGGGGGGGAGGUUAUAAAUGCAUAUAAAUUACAAUGGAUAUCCAAUAUCGGUUGGGUUAUUCAUAGGAUAAUCAACAGACAUACAUUCACAUUAUGCAUGCACACCAUGCAUAUCCAUCCUGCCGUUUUUGGUUGCAAGAAAGACGGGUUUUUUUUAUUCCAGCGUUCAGAUAGUUGCCCAGUACCAGUUACGUUGCCAUGGCGUGUUGUAGGCUGAAGCAUUGACGCUAGAGGAUGACCGAAACUGAAUUUCUGGUUUCGGCCCAAACCGAAACCAGACCGAAAGUUAAAUAUUGGCUUUUGGCCGAAACCGAAGCCGAAACCGAAAGUUGAACUUCACUUUCGGCCGAAACCGAAAGUUUAACUACACUUUCGACCGAGACCAAAACAGAAAGGUUUAUAACCAAAGUUACCGAACACAAGAUUUAUGAAAUACUAGCUUUACUACCCGGCUUCGCCCGGGACUUGGAUUCACCACGGCCAGCUGCCUUUGUCUCCCCAGUGGCGAUGUUGACACACCACUUACUCGUUUGAGGCUGAGUCGACCUAGGGGAGGCCCAGGACCAGUUCAAAUAAUCGUCACCGGCGGUGGCCAUGAGUGGGAAUUGAACUUUGGUCGUCGGGUUCGUAGCGCAGCGCGCGAAUCGCUACGCAGUCGCUGCCCCCCCCUACAUACACACAGGAUAAGGACAAAAAUCCACCAUGUAGCCUGUGAGACUGUAGGGGGCAAGUGCUGUUAGCGAGUACCUAUGAAGGCCGGCAUGGCACACGAGGGGGUGGGUGGCCAGCACCACGCCAUGUUCGUAGCGCUAAGCGCUACACAUGCGCGGGUGACAUGACAGAUGUGACGUCACAGCUCGCUUGCCGUGCAAAAUAUAUGCAUUAUUGCACCCCCCCCCCCCCAAAAAAAUAAUACCAAAGUGUAUGCAUGGUGUACAGUAUGGAAAGUACCCACAUGGCAAAUUUAAAGUUUGUUGCAUGUCGGGAAGUACGCUAAACAUUUUGAACAGACACAUUCACAAAUUUUCAUUUUUUAUAUAUAGGUCAUGAUGCAAUGCUACUUUAAUAAAAAAUGUAUCUAGAACUAAUCAUUCAGAGCCUGCAGUAAGAGUCGUUAAAUAUCAAAUCUUUAGGUGUUACUUGGUGAUUAUAUCUAAACAAACGAAUGUUGUAGUUAAGAAAUACCAGUUUUUCCGCAUUCUCGCCCAGCAGGUUGCUGUUUCUUGCAUCAGAAUCGACUUUAGUGAUUAACUGCUCCGUUUAUUAAGUUUAAUUUUCUACUUCACUCAGAUUCGUAAUUUUGUUAUCACUAAUUCGCUACGUAACUAUUAACUAACUGAAUAACAAUAUUGUCAGAUUUCGAUUUAAAGCUUUCGUGACUGCAGGGAUUCAUCUUCUUGGUUCUUUCGGUAAAGUCACAUAGAAGGGAAAUAAUAAAAUAAUAAAAAUAAAACAUAAUAAAAUAAUUCUCACGACGUUUCAGCCACAACGCAAGCAGCUGUCCUCAGGUGAAGAAUUCUUCAUUUUUUUUAUUAUGUUUUAUUUUUAUUAUUUUAUUACUUCCCUUCUAAGUGACUUUACCGAAAGAACCAAGAAGAAUAUUGUCAGACUUCGAAUCUCUGUAUCAACACGCGUGUAGACUGAAGAGAACGCAACACAUAAGCCAAGGCGGGCAGGCGGCUGGAAACAGACAACAACGGCACUUUGUUGUCGUCCCGCCAAAGAGACUCCACCCACGGAUGCAAAAGCAGGCUGCCGUCUGUUGACAUUAACAGACCAUCGUUGCGGCUGUAACCUCGCUCCCAAGCUGCUGCUGAUGUGUUUUUGCAGCCUAUCGCAGGAUUGCCUAGCGCCGACUGACCGGCCGAUAGGCAGAGAGAUAAACGUAGCACUAGCGUUAUAUUCUAAAAAUAGAUCUUCGGUUGACCGAAAGUCAAUAUCAGUUUCGGCCGAAAUCGAAAGUAAACCGAAAGUAAAAAAUGUACUUUCGGCCGAAACCGAACGUAUGUCGAAAGUGGCCAUUUGCCAACUUUCGGCACCGAAACCGAAUUUCGGUCGGCCUUUACUUUACGCAUCACCUCUGUGCGACCGACUGGGGAUCGCAGCAACUUGAAAAGGUGAUCAAAUGUACAAGAGGGGUUGGUAUGAAUCCUAUAGCUAUUUGGGACUUAGCUUGGAAAAACAAAACCAAGCAUGUGUUUAUCAAAGGAUUAUUCAAUAUUGGGCCAAAACAGGAUUGUUGAUUACAGUAGACUCUCCAUUUUCCACACUAAUGACCGGGAGGAUGGCCACGGCUAAUUCAAAAUCGUGGAUAAUCCCAAAUAUUCAUCUUCCGUGGAUCUCUAUGCCAAAAACCACUAAAGUAUAGUGGUAUAAGUUAUGUUUAAGUUAAGAAAAUUGAGUUGGUUAAUGAAUUAAACUAAAAUUGUAGAACUCACGAUAGAUCGAUGUGCGUGCUCAAUGAUAACAAUUUCCUGCUUCCGCGCAGACGACUCGGCCCACAAAGGGGACAGCAGCAGAGCCACGUCAAUCAACAUCAAUCAUUGCAAUGGACAAUUUUACGUGAUUGCAUUUACUGAUCUGACCGAGGUGGUGGCACGUGCCUGUAAACUCAUGGGGCUGACAGGUGGCAGUAUAGAAAGUUGGGGCACGUGACUUGUCUGUGCGGCCCUGUGAAUGUUGUCCCCUUGUGCUCGUGGGCUUUCGCUCAUUACUCAGUGCUGCAAAGCAGUGGCAAUGGGAGCCAAGUACAGUAGACUCUCGAUUGUUCGCGCUAAUUAGGGGAGGACGGCUGCACUAAGACCCAUAGAAUCAUACACAGACACACAGCCUCACAGCCUCACACAGACACCCAUUGACUCACACAGAAACCCAAAGACUCACGCAGGAACAAUAUACUUGCACAAUGACCCUUAGAAUCUCACACAGACACACAGCCUCACACAGACACCCAUUGACUCGCACAGAAACCCAAAGACUCGCACAGAAACAAUAUACUUGCACAAAGACCCAUAGACUAACACAGCGACGCAUAGACUCACACAGAGACCCAUACACUCACAUAGGGACAAUAUACUUGCACACAGACACAGACACCGAGACCCAAUGACACACACAGAGAAAAAAAUCCCACAGAGACCCAUAGACUCACACAGAUACCCAUAGACUCACACAGAGACCCAUAACCUCACACAUAGACCCAUACACCCACACAUAGACCCAUACACCCACACAGAGACCUAUAGACUCAAACAUAUACCCAUAGACACACACAGAGACCCAUAGACUCACACAGAGACCCAUAAACUCACACAAAGACUAUACUUGCCCAAAGACCCAUAGAAUCACAGGAAGACACAUUGGCAAACACAGAGACACAGACUCGCACAGAGACACAGACACCCAUUGACUCACACAAAUACCCAAAGACUCACACAGGGACAAUAUACUUGCAAAUAGACCCAUGGAAUCAAAAACCCAUAGACUCACACAGAAACAAUAUACUUUCACAAAAAACCAAUUGACUCACACAGAGACCCAUAGACUCACACAGAAACAAUAUACUUUCACAAAAACCCAUUGAAUAACACAGAGACACAAAUACACACACAGACCCAUGGACACACACAGGGACAAUAUACUUACAAAAAGACCCAUAGAAUCGCACAGGGACAUUAACUCACACAGAGACAAUAGACUCACAAAGGGACAAUAUACUUGCACAAAGACCCAUAGAAUCAUACACAGACACACAGCCUCACACAGACACCCAUUGACUCACACAGAAACAAUAUACUUUCACAAAAACCCAUCGAAUCACACAGAGACACAGACAUACAUCGACUCAUAGAUUCACACAGGGACAAUAUACUUGCACAAAGACCCAUAUAAUCACAUAGAGACCCAUAGACUCACACACAGACACACAGCCUCACACAGACACCCAUUGACUCACACAGAAACCCAAAUACUCACUCACUGGGACAAUAUACUUGCAAAUAGACCCACAAAAUAUCACACAGACACACAGCCUCACACAGACACCCAUAGAC